Molecule: long non-coding RNA, 385 nt
Filed under: Eutrema salsugineum
Lineage: Eukaryota; Viridiplantae; Streptophyta; Magnoliopsida; Brassicales; Brassicaceae
Description: long non-coding RNA (ESAL_LNC000453)
Source: RNAcentral
GAGAUGUUUGUACUCUUGCUCAUAGGCAUCUAGCCCUUGAAGCGGCCCAUCAAGGGAUUGUUCUUCUCAAAAACUCUGGUCGCUCUCUUCCACUCUCCCCUAGACGCCACCGCACAGUCGCCGUGAUUGGACCCAACUCCGAUGUCACUGAGACCAUGAUCGGAAACUAUGCAGGUAAAUACGAUAUUUCAUUAAAAUAUCUCUAUAUAUAUAUUAUAAUUAUUAUUAGUAAAUACAGAAUAUUGAUAUAUAAUUUCGACAGGAAAAGCAUGCACCUAUACGACGCCGUUACAAGGAAUAUCAAGAUACGCUAGGACACUUCAUCAAGUUGGUUGUGCCGGCGUGGCUUGCGCAGGGAACCAAGGAUUUGGUGCAGCCGAGGCGG